GGUCAGUGAUGAAUAGUAAAAGGUCUGAUUACCCCGAGACCACCCUGCUCACCCUCCCUGUUCCCAGCUGCCUCUUUGCUGUCAGGCUCUAGUGGUGCCACGACUGAGCAGAGGCCUGCUGACAUCACCGGAUACCCCAUGUGCAUGUGCGUGUUUGCUAGAAUUUCAGCAAAUGCACUAGUGUGGUGGGCAUCCAACAGUGGGCAUCAGCAAGGAAUAAGGGCUGGUGAGAGCACAUCUCCUGUGGGUCUGAUCUGAAACUUGCAAACUGAGGCC
RNAcentral lists this small nucleolar RNA (276 nucleotides) under Phascolarctos cinereus (koala). RNAcentral's name for it is "Small Cajal body specific RNA 6 (ENSPCIG00000010535.2)". It matches the Rfam family "Small Cajal body specific RNA 6". From Rfam's summary of the family: U88 is small Cajal body specific RNA (scaRNA). scaRNAs are a novel class of small nuclear RNAs which localise to the Cajal bodies. The record is from Rfam by way of RNAcentral. Lineage: Eukaryota; Metazoa; Chordata; Mammalia; Diprotodontia; Phascolarctidae.